Molecule: ribosomal RNA, 315 nt
Filed under: uncultured bacterium
Lineage: Bacteria
Description: bacterial SSU rRNA
Rfam family: Bacterial small subunit ribosomal RNA
Source: RNAcentral
GAUGAACGCUAGCGGCAGGCUUAACACAUGCAAGUCGCGGGGCAGCGAGGGGAUUGGCAACAAUCCCUGUCGGCGACCGGCGCAAGGGUGCGUAACGCGUGAGCAACAUGCCCGUCUCAGGGGGAUAACCGGUGGAAACGCCGCCUAAUACCCCAUGGCGAUAUAUUGAGGCAUCUUGAUAUAUCUAAAGCUCCGGCGGAGACGGAUUGGCUCGCGUGACAUUAGCUGGACGGCGGGGUAACGGCCCACCGUGGCAACGAUGUCUAGGGGUUCUGAGAGGAAGGCCCCCCACACUGGUACUGAGACACGGACCAG